AUGAUACUCCUCUGUCCUAAAAUUCUUGUCUUAAAUUUGUUUAGAUAUAAAUGUAUCUAAUCAAGUUUUAGUAUUUAGAUACAUUCAUUUUUAAACAAAGUUGAGACAAAUUUUGAUACAGAGGGAGCAUUAG
Molecule: microRNA precursor, 133 nt
Filed under: Hordeum vulgare
Lineage: Eukaryota; Viridiplantae; Streptophyta; Magnoliopsida; Poales; Poaceae
Description: microRNA MIR1122
Rfam family: MIR1120/MIR1122 microRNA precursor family
Source: RNAcentral